Molecule: long non-coding RNA, 1900 nt
Organism: Pogona vitticeps (central bearded dragon)
Lineage: Eukaryota; Metazoa; Chordata; Lepidosauria; Squamata; Agamidae
Source: Ensembl
AAUUACUAUAUGUGGUAUCAGGAAGACAAAAUCAGUAGUUAUAUGGGACCCUAAAUUUAUACUAGAUAACUUAACAACAAUACAUAAUAAAGCAGCAGUUAAAUUCUAAAUUUACUGCAGUGAAUUGAAGAUUAAAGUACUGUAUAUUGUAUUAGUGUACUGUGAUGGUUAAUGUUACCCAAUGCAUUUGCUUCUCGUAUAGUUAAUUAUAAUUUUGUCAUUCUGUAUACUUAUUGCCCCUGUUUUCUGGACCCCUUGUGUAGGUCAGGCAGCUUUUAACCACAAGACAUUUCAAGAUAUUUUCCAUAUGUCUCGUCGGAGCUUUAACAAAACAAAAACCAUGUAGCAUGCUCAGAUCUCCAGUGAUUAAAACAAACAUGCAUAAACGAGUAUGUAGAAGUUUGGAGACUAUUCCACAGUCGAUCAGUUCUUGCCACCCACCAAGCAAGUGUGCUGUGGAUUAUUGGGAUAUGGAGCAGGAUUUGACACAGAAAAGCCCCACUGAAUUCUCCACCCCUCGUAUUAUGAAAGAAAAAACACAUGACAUGAUACUUCAAGAUAAUGAAACCAGAACUGCUGCCCAAACUUGCCUAAGAUGUAUGGCUGGAGAACCUGGGCACUUUGGCCAUAUUAUGAGUUUAUAGGAUAUCAAAGGAUAUGCAUUGAUACUCCAGAACAAAAAAAAGUUUCAAGCUUCUCUUGAGUUCCUAGAUUUUUCUACACCCCUCUGAAAUUGUAUAUAUGUAAUGUACAUAAGAUCUCUUGUGGGUUUUUUUAAUGUUCUCACUAGAACCUCAUUUUGUUUACCUUUUAUAUAAUUUAAAAUAUGUUUUCAAAGCACUGCUCAGCUUAGCGAUUCUCCCACUUUCAACAUGUGUACAAGAGAUAUAUAUUCAUGAAUGUGGGUUAACUGCAGGCAGACAAAAAAGUGGAGACUGGUAUUUUUACUUCUUGUGCAUGUAUGUUGUGAAUAUGUAAAAUUACAUAAUUAUUGAAAUUCAUGGAGAUGGUGACAGUGUGAAACAAAUGUGGUGAAUGUCCCAAAACUGAACAGUUUUCUCCACUAUUAAAAUACCCAGCUGGCUGGGUAGCUCAGUGGGUUGAAGUUUAGACUGCAGAGCCAAUGCUUGUGAAUUCAAUUCUUGACUGUGCCUUGUAGGAUAUACAGAGUGCCCCCCCCCCCGUAGAAGGGAAUGUACCCCUUCUGAGUACUCCAUAGAAAGAAAACCAGAAUUGACUUUACUACACAUAUUUGUUAACUACUAAGAUACACACACUUAGAGUUGCAUUUAGUUGAUAGUAUUCAUCAGUAUAUAUCUGCAUCUUCAGUAAUGCUGCAUGUGAACCAUGUAUUUUGAAAAUACCAUAAAAUGUUCACAGUACUUCUGAAGUUAUUUCAAAGCACAUAAUCACAUUUUUCUCUCUUCUUUAAGGCAAAUUUGUAGAAUGCACUGCCUCCUAGGAAGCACUGAACUGUAAAGGUAUUUCCCUUUCAGCUGGUGAAAUACAUGAUGUAAAGUCCCUUUGCAGCGAUUGAGACUCAAAAUGUACCUUUGUCACUGCUUUGGCAUAUUCUUGUUAGGAAUUUGACAGACCAUCUCUGUGGCUUGAAAUAGAUCCUUUUUCCCUUCUUUAUUUUCUAAAUAAUCUUGAAAGCUUGAGUGCCACUUGGUCUGCCCACCACCAUGUCCAAAUAUUUUUAUCAUAGCAGUCUGCCCACCACCAUGUCCAAAUAUUUUUACACAGGAAAUGAAGUUUUGGCCUGAUUAUCCUCAUAGAUUCUGGUUGGAUAGCUGGAUGAGUUAGGUACCUAUUUCAAGCCACAGGUGGAGUCUGUCAAGUUCCUAACAAGAAUAUGCCAGCAAAUAUGAAAAAUAAAACAAUGACUCACUAACUGGCA